UACGUAGGGUGCAAGCGUUGUCCGGAAUUAUUGGGCGUAAAGAGCUCGUAGGUGGCUUGUCACGUCUGCUGUGAAAACUCGGGGCUCAACCCCGAGCCUGCAGUGGAUACGGGCUAGCUAGAGUGCGGUAGGGGAGACUGGAAUUCCUGGUGUAGCGGUGAAAUGCGCAGAUAUCAGGAGGAACACCGGUGGCGAAGGCGGGUCUCUGGACCGAUACUGACACUGAGGAGCGAAAGCGUGGGGAGCGAACAGG
This 253-nucleotide ribosomal RNA is filed under the name uncultured bacterium. Its description in RNAcentral is "partial 16S ribosomal RNA". It matches the Rfam family "Bacterial small subunit ribosomal RNA", at positions 524 to 776 of the family's 1533-position model. The record is from RNAcentral. RNAcentral also lists the same sequence under 1 other name.